Molecule: long non-coding RNA, 2364 nt
Filed under: Mytilus galloprovincialis (Mediterranean mussel)
Lineage: Eukaryota; Metazoa; Mollusca; Bivalvia; Mytilida; Mytilidae
Source: RNAcentral
UUUUUUCAUUUCUUAUUUAUUUGUUUUAUAUAUCAAAGUUCAAAUCAUGUAUCAUCACCAUCUACAUUGAUUGAUUUUUCAACUUUUAAAUAAUUUAAAACAGGAUAGCUGAAUAAUCAAAAUAAGGUUCAUUAAAGAACAUUUUGGAUCUUUUUAUAUUAAUUAUUUCUUUCAAAUGAAGGAAAAAGUAUAACUUAUAUAAAAAGGAGAGGGUAAAAUUUUCCUGUAGAUUAUAAUACUUUGGUAAAGCCUUUGAAUAGUCCAUAUAUUAAAUGUUUUGAUGAGUGUAAACAUAUCAUACCCUUAUGAGAAUAUUCAUAAUAUGAAAGCCAAUUAAAACAACAAUUUGAUUAUGUAUAUGAAAAUCACAACCUUAAAAUACAAAUAAGACAAUAAAUAUAUAAAUUUUACAUAUGUUACAUAAAUAUAUUAAUGCACAUAUGUCACAACCAUUAUUGUUACAAUAUCACACAUUUACAUGUGCUGGUCACAACAUGUACAAGCACUUUUCAAAUCGUCUGAGCCCCGGAAGCACAUUAAAUUGAAAAAAAAUUCAUAAUAAUCGCUGUCAUUUAAUGCCCAGUGCUUGGAGGUAAAAUAAAAUGAAAAUAUGCUCAUGGCAGUAAAGAAUCUGCAUAUGUAUUUAGUCUUUUCUCUAUGAAGAAUAUUUUUCAAUUAAAAAAAAAAGCAUAAGCAGAUAAUGUUACUGUCUUGUUGCAUUUUGUAUUCUACUUUAAACAAAGAGAAACAGUUGGUAAAUUGAUCAAUUUGAGAUUAUCAACUAUUUUCAAUACAAAAGUAUGCACUGAAUUCAUUAGAACUUGAAAUGGGUUUUAAUUCUGAUAUAUUUGACCAAUUUAAAUAAUGGUUUGAAAAAUUCUUCAAAUGGCCAAAUCAUUAGAAUAUAUGAAUGAGGUAGAAAUUUGAAUUGAUUUUCUUCAAUACAUGACAAAGUUUAGUACAGAAAUUGUUCAUUAUGCUUUGGACAAUUUCGAACUUCAAAAUUAUAUUAUUAAAAUGUUACAGUAAAAGUGAAAGAGAUUGAUAGUACAUGUACAAUGAAAUCCCAUAACAAAAAAUAUUUAGUGAAUUUGCUGGGACAUGUUUUUGAUACAACUUUUUUUGUAUUUAAAAAAAUAUUGCAUUUAGUUUUCUUGGUUGAAAAAAAAUCUAGAGGUUAAACUACAGUUUUUUGAAAAUAAUUGGUGAAUUUGGAAAAGCACCAACUGAUUGGUUUUAUGCUUUCCUUUAUAUUUCAAAUGGAAGGAAAAUUCAAGCAAAAAUGUAUUUCGCAAGGAGAUAUUAAAAUUUUAUUAUAAGAUGCAUUAAAAUAAAUUAUCUUGAUAAUAAAUGUUCAAGAAAAGAAAAAAUACUCUUCAGAUCUUCAGAAAAAAAAUCAUUUAUAGAUCACAAUUCUUACAAUAUGUAAUAUAUUUCCUAAGUUUCUUUAAAAUCAUUUAUUCAAUAUUUGUAUGAAAUUUAAAUAUAUUGAAGGUAAGCAUUUUAAAGCUGACAAUUUACUGAAAAUAAACCCUUCAUCAGCACAAGUUAUUUUUGAUGAAGUAACAUAUAAACAAUGGUCCGAUAAGGAAUGUCUUUGUAGAUAAUCACAACCAAGAACAUAUAAACAUAUAUAAAGAAGAUAGGAACAUCCUCCUUUCUGCAUUAUUACACUCUCAAAUGGUAACCAUGGUAACAUAUUCAUUAGUUUUUAACUUAAGAAGGUUGCCUGAUUUUGAUCUAAUUUGCAAAAAUAAAUAAAUUGGUACAUGUAUAAUUUCAUUCUUAUUUGAAGGCCUUCUCCAUAAACGUGAACUAUUGAAAUAAUGAAAUAUUUUGAUUAACACAAAAAAAUGUGUCUGGAGCUCUGUCUAUUUAUUAUAUAACCAAACAGUCUUAACACAUUUUAAUUUUGUAUAUAUUUUUGUACCAUAAUGAUCAAGUUAUUAAAUAGAUGAAUUAUUAACCUCCGAUUAAUAUAAGUUUUAUUGCUAUUUAAAUUUUUAUUACUUUUGACCCACUGACCUAACUUAAUAAAUUUUCUCAUGUAAAAUUUUAAAACAAUGAUAUUCAGUAAUGGAAAAAGAAAAAUAGCAGGAAGGUCAAUAGGUCAAUGUUUCCCAGUCUCUCAUUGACACUUAUGAGCAUACAGGUUCAAUACAUGAAAAAAUGUUUAAUACAUGAAAAAAUACUUUUCAGAUCUUCAGAAAAAACUGUCUGAAUUUAAAGUGUCAGUAUAUAAAGCAGGAGUGAUAUGAAAUAACACUCCUUCAUGUCCUUAUUUAGAUAAAAAUAAAAUUAUCUGUAAUUCUAUAUAACAUAGAAUUUCUUUGACCUAAUUACAAAUAUUGUUGCAUUUAUACA